GUGAGGAAUAUUGGACAAUGGGCGCAAGCCUGAUCCAGCCAUGCCGCGUGCAGGAAGACGCAUCUAUGGUGUGUAAACUGCUUUUGUACGGGAAGAAACACUCCCUCGUGAGGGAGCUUGACGGUACCGUAAGAAUAAGGAUCGGCUAACUCCGUGCCAGCAGCCGCGGUAAUACGGAGGAUCCAAGCGUUAGCCGGAAUCAUGGGGUUGAAAGGGUCCGUAGGCGGUUUAAUAAGUCAGUGGUGAAAGCCCAUCGCUCCACGAUGGAACGGCCAUUGAUACUGUUAGACUUGAAUUACAAGGAAGUAACUAGAAUAUGUAGUGUAGCGGUGAAAUGCUUAGAUAUUACAUGGAAUACCAAUUGCGAAGGCAGGUUACUACUUGUGGAUUGACGCUGAUGGACGAAAGCGUGGGGAGCGAACAGGAUUAGAAACCCGGGUAGUCC
RNAcentral lists this ribosomal RNA (445 nucleotides) under uncultured bacterium. RNAcentral describes it as "partial 16S ribosomal RNA". It matches the Rfam family "Bacterial small subunit ribosomal RNA", at positions 354 to 796 of the family's 1533-position model. The record is from RNAcentral.